RNAcentral lists this ribosomal RNA (447 nucleotides) under uncultured bacterium. RNAcentral's name for it is "partial 16S ribosomal RNA". It matches the Rfam family "Bacterial small subunit ribosomal RNA", at positions 29 to 523 of the family's 1533-position model. The record is from RNAcentral.
AGCGAACGCUGGCGGCAGGCCUAACACAUGCAAGUCGAGCGCCCCGCAAGGGGAGCGGCAGACGGGAGGGUAACACGUGGGAACGUACCCUUCAGUUCGGAACAACCCAGGGAAACUUGGGCUAAUACCGAAUACGUCCGUAAGGAGAAAGAUUUAUCGCUGAGGGAUCGGCCCGCGUCUGAUUAGCUAGUUGGUGAGGUAACGGCUCACCAAGGCGACGAUCAGUAGCUGGUCUGAGAGGAUGAUCAGCCUCACUGGGACUGAGACACGGCCCAGACUCCUACGGGAGGCAGCAGUGGGGAAUAUUGGACAAUGGGCGCAAGCCUGAUCCAGCCAUGCCGCGUGGAUGAUGAAGGCCCUAGGGUUGUAAAGUCCUUUCGGCGGGGAAGAUAAUGACGGUACCCGCAGAAGAAGCCCCGGCUAACUUCGUGCCAGCCGCCGCGGUAA